UCGAUACGCGAAAGAGGGCUUUCGGCCCUGAGUAGAGUGGGCAGACGGGUGAGUAACGCGUGGGUGACCUACCCUCGAGCGGGGGAUAACGUCCCGAAAGGGACGCUAAUACCGCAUGACAUCCUGCCCUUGGACGGGCGGUGAUCAAAGCCGGGGAUCGCAAGACCUGGCACUUGAGGAGGGGCCCGCGUCCGAUUAGCUAGUUGGUGGGGUAAUGGCUCACCAAGGCUUCGAUCGGUAGCCGGCCUGAGAGGGCGGACGGCCACACUGGGACUGAGACACGGCCCAGACUCCUACGGGAGGCAGCAGUGGGGAAUUGUUCGCAAUGGGCGCAAGCCUGACGACGCAACGCCGCGUGGAGGGAUGAAGAUUUUCGGAUCGUAAACUCCUGUCGAAUGGGACGAAUGGCCCGGCCGUGAAUAGCGGCCGGGAAUGACGGUACCGUGAGAGGAAGCCCCGGCUAACUCCGUGCCAGCAGCCGCGGUAAUACGGGGGGGGCAAGCGUUGUUCGGAAUUACUGGGCGUAAAGG
This 530-nucleotide ribosomal RNA is filed under the name uncultured bacterium. RNAcentral's name for it is "bacterial SSU rRNA". It matches the Rfam family "Bacterial small subunit ribosomal RNA", at positions 62 to 566 of the family's 1533-position model. The record is from RNAcentral.